This is a long non-coding RNA of Fundulus heteroclitus (mummichog), 636 nucleotides long. RefSeq lists it as uncharacterized. The record is from RefSeq and is a predicted model, not a curated record. NCBI's taxonomy places the organism in Eukaryota, Metazoa, Chordata, Actinopteri, Cyprinodontiformes, Fundulidae. The transcript has 4 exons.
UGUAACGGUACUACAUGGACCUUCUCUGGUUCAGGAAACAGAGCAGCAGUAGAGCUGUUUACUCUGGGUCAGAUUAAUCAGAAUAACAACUCUACAGCAGACAGACUGAAACUAGCAGCAAAAUGUUCUCUGGUUAUAAAGAAGGUCAGAGAGGAAGAUGUUGGACGUUAUGACUGUCAACAAUGGAAACGAGGAGACAAAGAAACUCCAUCUCAUCAGUCUGCUGUAGUUCUGUCUGUUCUUCACAUGACUAAACAGAAGGAGAAUCAGAACGUGACAUUAAGCUGCUCUGUGGUGACCUCUGACCCCUGUAGAUACAAAGUGAAGUGGGUUUAUCAAGAUUUGGACGACAACCAAACUCCAGCAGAGACUGGCUGCUCUGCUACUUCCCCUUUUUUAUCAGGGAAUAAGUUAUCUCAGUGUAAAGUGACUCAUAGUUCUACUAAUGAAGAGUUUACCUUCAGUUUUCAGUCCUCAGAAAAUACAGGAGGAGAAGGUAAAUCAACUAAAACACCUGGAAACAACAAGUCAACGACAACUAAACGGAAUCCUGUCAAUGUUCCACCAACCGUACAAGGUCACCCAACCACUACUAGAAGAACAACAUCUGGGAAGGAAGCUUUAUCAAAUAAAGGU